Astatotilapia calliptera (eastern happy) is the source of this 1053-nucleotide long non-coding RNA. Lineage: Eukaryota; Metazoa; Chordata; Actinopteri; Cichliformes; Cichlidae. The record is from Ensembl.
UGCUGACAAGUAGAAUUUUUCAUAGUAUCUAGAUGUACACUUGGCAGUUACAGGCAAAGCUUAUCUGCUCCCAUCUCAUGUGAUGGGAGGAGGAGGGAGAGAGAGAGUGGGAGAUAGAGAGAGGGAGGAGGAAAAAGUGUUCACCUAUUUAAUUUGAUUAGAGAUUAGAAGAGGAAAAGAGUCACAUUUCCUCCCUGGCACGUCUCUACUUGGCGCACUCUGACACCUGAUUUUAUAAAGAGAUGUCACAGCCAAGCACGGCGGUAAUGCCGGUAAUUACUCUGAACUCAAAUAAAUAAAUAAAUUUGCUUUUCUUUGUGAGAGUCUGACAGGUUUUCCAACAUCCUUGACUGGAAAAAAAAAUGCAGUGCGUGUGCGCAAGUAGGCGUGCACUUUUUUGCGGUUGUUUAUUUGGAUGUGUGUCUUUGUGUGGGUGUGUGCUUGUGUUUACAUAUAGUGAGGCACUUGUAAAGGAGAAACUCAGACAGGAUGAACAUUUUGACAGCUACAGUAUAGCUUGUUUUCUCUUCUCUUCUUCAGUUUUUUUUUUUUUUUUGACUGUGAUAAUCUGCUGAGCCGUGCGCGCUGAAGGCAAACCUCCGUUUGAGACUGAUAAGGUUCGAGAUACAGCUUUGUAAAUAAUAAGGUUAGAGUUUCUGCACAGUUGCUAGUGCCUCGGCUGAUCUCGCUCCUAUUAGUGACAAUUGGCUUUGACCUCACCUGCUCACCCAUGCUGUCGUCACUGAGGGUGUAUCUGCAGCAGCAGGCUAUUAGAUCAUCCACUCUGGUCAUAGAAGGAGACAUCCAGACAAACGUUGCACUGCUGAACCAAAGAAAGUCUGAUGCGUGUUGUCAUGAAAGCUGGCUCUUCGACUUUAGAUGCUCCUCAUCUGCAAAAGCAGUUCCAUAUUUCAUCUUCUAGGGGAAAAAAAACCCCAAGUUUCUCUAAAAAGCUCACAAAAGCAGGCAGACUUUUAGCACAAAACAGGUGGGUAAUGUUGUCACAGUAUAGACGGACAAAUGCAAUUAACCUGCCAUGUUCCAAAUGCGUUA